RNAcentral lists this unclassified non-coding RNA (240 nucleotides) under soil metagenome. Its description in RNAcentral is "partial contains 5.8S ribosomal RNA, internal transcribed spacer 2, and large subunit ribosomal RNA". The record is from RNAcentral.
AAGACUAUAGACCUGCGGAGUACCUGCGGAAGGAUCAUUAUCGUAUUGUAACAAUUGGGGGGGCCACCGUGGGCUGUCGCUGACCCUUUGAAAGGGGGGUUGUGCACGCCCCCAUAGUGUCAUCCUCAUACAAUCCAACUCACCUCUGUGCAUCACCGCGUGGGUUCCUUUCUGGGUCGAGUCAGACUGGCUCAGAAAAAAGGGGCUUGCGUUUUCCAUACAAAUACCCUUAUAAAUCCA